Molecule: unclassified non-coding RNA, 500 nt
Filed under: uncultured Glomus
Lineage: Eukaryota; Fungi; Glomeromycota; Glomeromycetes; Glomerales; Glomeraceae
Description: SSU rRNA
Rfam family: Eukaryotic small subunit ribosomal RNA
Source: RNAcentral
CCAAUAGCGUAUAUUAAAGUUGUUGCAGUUAAAAAGCUCGUAGUUGAAUUUCGGGGUUAGUAGGCUGGUCGUGCCACUGGUAUGUACUGGUCUUACUGACUUCUCCUUUCUGAAGAACUGUAAUGCCAUUAAUUUGGUGUUGCAGGGAAUCAGGACUGUUACUUUGAAAAACUUAGAGUGUUUAAAGCAGGCUUACGCUUGAAUACAUUAGCAUGGAAUAAUGAAAUAGGACGUUCGAUCCUAUUUUGUUGGUUGCUAGGAUUGACGUAAUGAUUAAUAGGGAUAGUUGGGGGCAUUAGUAUUCAAUUGUCAGAGGUGAAAUUCUUGGAUUUAUUGAAGACUAACUACUGCGAAAGCAUUUGCCAAGGAUGUUUUCAUUAAUCAAGAACGAAAGUUAGGGGAUCGAAGACGAUCAGAUACCGUCGUAGUCUUAACCAUAAAUUAUGCCGACUAGGGAUCGGAUGAUGUUAAUUUUUUAAUGACUCAUUCGGCGCCUUACG